Molecule: transfer RNA, 77 nt
Filed under: Citrobacter phage Mijalis
Lineage: Duplodnaviria; Heunggongvirae; Uroviricota; Caudoviricetes; Andersonviridae
Description: tRNA-Arg
Source: RNAcentral
AAUCCUGUAGGGUGUGCCAAUUUUAAUGGUCAAGACAACACGAGUAAGUUAUCUUAGAUACGCGUUAAGAGAUAAAC